GUGACCGCUAGCGGCAUUCUUAACACAUGCAAGUCGAGGGGCAGCGCGAGUAGCAAUACUUGGCGGCGACCGGCGCAAGGGUGCGUAACGCGUGAGCAACAUGCCCGUAUCAGGGGGAUAAUCCAGGGAAACUUGGUCUAAUACCCCAUAGUAAUUUUGUAAGGCAUCCUAUGGAAUUUAAAGCUUUGGUGGAUACGGAUUGGCUCGCGUGACAUUAGCCGGAUGGUAAGGUAACGGCUUACCAUGGCUAUGAUGUCUAGGGGUUCUGAGAGGAAGGUCCCCCACACUGGAACUGAGACACGGUCCAGACUCCUACGGGAGGCAGCAGUGAGGAAUAUUGGACAAUGGAUGGAAAUCUGAUCCAGCCAUGCCGCGUGCAGGAAGACGGUCCUAUGGAUUGUAAACUGCCUUUGUAUGGGAGCAAUAAGGCCUUCGUGAAGGCUGAUGAGAGUACCAUACGAAUAAGCACCGGCUAACUCCGUGCCAGCAGCCGCGGUAAUACGGAGGGUGCAAGCGUUAUCCGGAUUUAUUGGGUUUAAAGGGUGCGUAGGCGGUUAUUUAAGUCAGUGGUGAAAGUUUCCGCCUCAACCGGAAAAUUGCCAUUGAUACUGGAUAGCUGGCAUAUGGCUGCUGU
RNAcentral lists this ribosomal RNA (634 nucleotides) under uncultured bacterium. RNAcentral describes it as "bacterial SSU rRNA". It matches the Rfam family "Bacterial small subunit ribosomal RNA", at positions 29 to 658 of the family's 1533-position model. The record is from RNAcentral.